RNAcentral lists this ribosomal RNA (250 nucleotides) under uncultured bacterium. RNAcentral describes it as "partial 16S ribosomal RNA". It matches the Rfam family "Bacterial small subunit ribosomal RNA", at positions 524 to 773 of the family's 1533-position model. The record is from RNAcentral.
UACGGAGGGUGCAAGCGUUAUUCGGAAUCACUGGGCGUAAAGGACGCGUAGGCGGGAAGCCAAGUCUGAUGUGAAAUCCUAUGGCUUAACCAUAGAACUGCAUUGGAAACUGGUUACCUAGAGUAUGGGAGGGGGAGAUGGAAUUAGUGGUGUAGGGGUAAAAUCCGUAGAUAUCACUAGGAAUACCGAAAGCGAAGGCGAUCUCCUGGAACAAUACUGACGCUAAGGCGUGAAAGCGUGGGGAGCAAAC